CCUACGGGAGGCAGCAGUGGGGAAUCUUGCGCAAUGGGCGAAAGCCUGACGCAGCAACGCCGCGUGCGGGAAGAAGGCUUUCGGGCUGUAAACCGCUUUCAGCAGGAACGAAAAUGACGGUACCUGCAGAAGAAGGAGCGGCCAACUAUGUGCCAGCAGCCGCGGUGAUACAUAGGCUUCAAGCGUUGUCCGGAUUUAUUGGGCGUAAAGAGUUCGUAGGCGGUCGAGUAAGUCGGGUGUGAAAAUUCUGGGCUCAACCCAGAGACGCCACCCGAUACUGCUUGACUUGAGUUCGAUAGGGGAGUGGGGAAUUCCUAGUGUAGCGGUGAAAUGCGCAGAUAUUAGGAGGAACACCGGUGGCGAAGGCGCCACUCUGGAUCGAUACUGACGCUGAGGAACGAAAGCAUGGGUAGCAAACAGGAUUAGAUACCCUGGUAGUCCAUGCCGUAAACGGUGGGCACUAGGUGUGGGUUUCUAUUAACGAAAUCCGCGCCGUCGCUAACGCAUUAAGUGCCCCGCCUGGGGAGUACGGGUCGCAAGACUAAAACUCAAAAGGAAUUGACGG
Molecule: ribosomal RNA, 565 nt
Filed under: uncultured bacterium
Lineage: Bacteria
Description: bacterial SSU rRNA
Rfam family: Bacterial small subunit ribosomal RNA
Source: RNAcentral